RNAcentral lists this long non-coding RNA (1021 nucleotides) under Nicotiana benthamiana. RNAcentral describes it as "long non-coding RNA (NBEN_LNC025199)". Lineage: Eukaryota; Viridiplantae; Streptophyta; Magnoliopsida; Solanales; Solanaceae. The record is from RNAcentral.
CUCUCAUGUAUUUUACAUAGAUGAUUGGUCUCGAGCGUGAAACUCCCCAGGGAUUAAUGUGAAGUAGGCACGGGUAUCAACGUCUAAGCCCACAGUAAACAUAUGAUGAGCCCGAACAAGAAAUCCAAGAACACCUAUAUUGAUCAUGGCAUAAACCAUGCCUAGAUACCCGAAAACCGAUUUUCCCGAAAAAGUAGAAACGAUAUGACUUAUGAUACCGGAUCCAGGCAGUAAGUCUUACUGCCAAUGUCAGCUAAUAGGCUUAAAAACAAAAAGAAAAUGGAAAUUAAUGUUGGAGUCUCCUUACUUCUCAGCCCUAAGCUAAGUCUUCCUCAAUGACCGAUCACUUUUCAGCAUAUUCCGGUAAAGCCUUAAAGGCAAGGAAAGCUUUCAAGCUAAUAAGCUACUUAAGAAAGAAACUAAAGAAAGAAAAGAAUUGAAAAGACAGAAAGGAAAGAGUACAAAGAGAGAUACGGAAAGUCAUAUUCCAGUAAAGCCUUAAAGCUUUCAGCGCCUCGAAGACUCAAUAGCAAUUCCAUCUCGUCUUUCCAGAUCAAUAGCCCCAAUCCCCAUCUUUUCAAAACAUGUCAUUUACGGGUAGGUCGAAACAUCUUUGAUCAUGAGCGAAUUUGUUGAUGUUGCACCCAUGAAGUAUGGAAAGUGCCAAACAUUGGGAACUACCCGGGCAGGAGUUAGGAACAAGAACAAGGAGAAGCGAGAACCACUAUAAACCCCUCCCAAGGUUGUGGCAACUUUCUACUCCUCCUGAGCUAUCUUGCCGUAUCUAAAAUGACUUCGAGCAUCCAGCUUCACCACUGCUGCCUGCUCUCUCCUUCUUCGGCACUUCCCAGUCCACAACAGACCUGGUCUUCUCUUGAUCCAUCUGAAUCACACCCUUGCUGAUCCAAUGGCCAAGAAAUAGCACUUUCGUCUGAGUACUCUUUCACGUACAGCCUCUUUUCCUGCUACACCCGGAACACUGUACUCAGGGUUCCAAACCUCCAGUGAGUGACUAUAAACG